GAUGAAGAACGCAGCGAAAUGCGAUAAGUAAUGUGAAUUGCAGAAUUCAGUGAAUCAUCGAAUCUUUGAACGCACAUUGCGCCCUCUGGUAUUCCGGGGGGCAUGCCUGUUCGAGCGUCAUUAUAACCACUCAAGCUCUCGCUUGGUAUUGGGGUUCGCGGUUCCGCGGCCCCUAAAAUCAGUGGCGGUGCCUGUCGGCUCUACGCGUAGUAAUACUCCUCGCGAUUGAGUCCGGUAGGUCUACUUGCCAGCAACCCCCAAUUUUUACAGGUUGACCUCGGAUCAGGUAGGGAUACCCGCUGAACUUAAGCAUAUCAAUAAGCGGAGG
RNAcentral lists this unclassified non-coding RNA (328 nucleotides) under soil metagenome. Its description in RNAcentral is "partial contains 5.8S ribosomal RNA, internal transcribed spacer 2, and large subunit ribosomal RNA". The stretch from base 1 to 120 matches the Rfam family "5.8S ribosomal RNA", at positions 35 to 154 of the family's 154-position model. The record is from RNAcentral.